Molecule: long non-coding RNA, 3751 nt
Organism: Cavia porcellus (domestic guinea pig)
Lineage: Eukaryota; Metazoa; Chordata; Mammalia; Rodentia; Caviidae
Exons: 2
Source: RefSeq, a predicted model, not a curated record
AUGAACGCGAUGGGGAAAUUCGGGAAGCCCACCAGUGUACAGCGCCUGGAUUGCUCUUAAAAAUUCACUAGACCAACGCUUCACGACCUUCCGCCAGCGCACCGGAAGACAUAAUGCCCUAGAACAAUUUGUUACACCAGGACUUGGCACAAGCGCAGGAUGUGCUAUUGUUUUCUAAAGUGAAAGGAGGACUGAAGAGAGCACACAGGUCAUUCUCAGAAAGAUCAUUUCUAGGAAGGAGAGCGUGUGUGCGUAAGUUGAGGGUUUGGAAAUGGAUUUCCUUAAGAUCAUCUGUUUCCAUAUCUUUGGAAAACUUUUUUGUAGGACCCCUGCCUGAAGGCCACUACCCGAGGGGUGCCCGAAGGUGCCGCACAGGCUUUGUCUGAGAAAGUAGGAAGAGGAGGGGGAAUCUGGAACCAGGUCUGUUGCUUCAUCUGGAGCUCCGGGGCAUGUUUUUAAAGCUUUAUUUUCCUGUUUCACAUUUAAACUUUUAUUUGAUGGGAGAGUUUUGCUGCUAAAAAUAAAUCUGAAGAAACACAGCUUCCAUGAGGAGCCAUUUAAGGAUUUUAAGCAGGGAAAUGACAUAAUUAGGUUUUUGUUUCAAAAAAUUGCUUUGGCAUCGGAACACAUGGCUCAGACUGAAUAGGAGGAAGACAAGACUAGAGAUUCAAAGCGAGGCACAUGGCGCCUGCCUUUAGUCCUGGCAUUCGGGGUGGGGAACUGGGGCAAGGGGUUCACCACAAGUUAGAGGUCUGCCGGGCUACUGGUGAGUUCAAGGCCAGCCUGGCUUACAGAGUCAGACCCUGUCUCAGAACAAACAAACAAAAUGAAACAAAAUAAAAAUAAAGACCGGACACGCAGAAACUUGCCAACUAACCAAAGGAAACAAUUUCUUGGCACUGCAGCCCUGGGUUCCAUCCCAGGAUGGCAGCGUUCACUUUCAUUGAAGCAAGGACUUCCUGGAUUGCCGUCCUGUCCAGCAAGCGCAGGCUUACAGUAAUGUUUGACUCCUCUCCAUCCUGCAUAUCCAAGCUGCCCCACAUCUUGUUGCUUCUUUCUUUCUUCAAACUGUCUCUCUUACACUCAUCGUCCCCCAUCAGGCACCUUACAUUUUGCGUUGAGCUUUCUGCAGGAACUUCAGGGACUCCUGCUUUUAGUUCCUUUGCCAGCCGGCUCUUCACGGCCACUGCUUUGCUAUUCAUGACACACUGCCGCAAACGCAAAAUCAGUAGCUUGUCAAAUCUUAUUUCAGAUUUCUGUAUCUCUUCUCAGUCUGAGUAGAGCAGAAAGUUAAAAUGCGAUGACUACGUUUUUAUUCUCUGGGCCACGUUUCCUUUGUUUCUUUCUGUGUGAGCUGUUUGAAAAUUUAGCAGGACUUAAAAGGCAAGGGAACAUCUCUCCGUCUUGCCGCCUGCCUCUUGCCGCGUCUCAGGGAAAGGUUUUGUGAUGAAAGUGGAAUUUUAGAUGGAGUGGAGAAGAGACCAUAACAGAGAAUAUUAUGCUUGCGAUUUUAUGCUAUCAGAUUCUUCCUGAAUUACUGGCUUUCCAUGAAGCAACUGCUGGUCUGGAAUGUUUUCAACAGAGCUGAUAUUUCUGGCUCCUGUUCAUGUUUUAGAAUAUUUAGACAGGUAAGUUGGAAACUUGGCUCUGAUUGGAAAAAUAUUUGAAACUUAUUUCUGCAAAAAGUUGUGUUGGAUAUUGAAUCCAUGGCCUCAUGCAUGCUAAACCCAUACUUGAUUUCUGAGCCACACAUCCUGCCCUUAAAGUCUUUUUAACUUUUAAAAGAAUGAUAGAAAUUUAAAGCAAAAGCUCUUGACUCUUAAAUAGUCAUCGCAGCUCUUGGAGGAUGUUGAGAAGGUGAAUUGGACUGCAGGUUGAAAACCAUCUUGUGUGUGCUGCCUAUUGCUAGAAAGGUUUAAGACAGAGAGAGGACAGGGAGUGUAAGCUGUAGUAGUUUGACCUAUUUUCAGGAUUCUGUUUCUCCCUCACUGGACCUAAAGAAAUACUGCAACAUAGAAUUUCAAUGUGAUAUUUUUUAUUAUUUAUGUGGUACUGGAGAUCGAACUCAUGACCUCACACUCACCAGGCAGGUGCUUACAUCAUUGAGCUAAAUCCCCGCUAAAUCCCCAUGUAACAUAGAAUUUUGAAACAGUCUGUUUUGCCUUCUAUCUGCCCCACUACCCUUUUCAUGCUGCUGCUUCCCUUUCCUUAUUGACAUGUGCCAUGUUCACCUGGUUAAUUUGAUCUUACUUUCCAUGGCUGUUUUCUGCCCUGUGUUGUCAGGGUCUCUCAGAUCAGUCUAACUUGUGUCCUGGGGACAGCUGUGUAUGGUCAAAGCCUUUUCCAAAAGCCUGGCAGGUCACACAGACAAGACUGGUAUAUGUUUUGUUUCUUGUACAAGUCUGGGGUCGUGGUCCAGAUCUGGCUGUGAAUCACAGCUGGUAUAAAACUGUUCAUUACUGUCAGUUUGGCGCAUCAGAGUUUCCCAUGGAGAGUGGUGUGAACCUGAACCCCAUGACAGUCCCAGAAGUAUGCCAGGGUCUUGAGGCUCCCACGGCCUGAGCAUACCUGGGUUAGGAUUUCUUUGUGCUAAGGAGCAUGGCAACUUAGAAACCACAACAGCUAACCACUAGCCAAUGUGUUGCUCUCCAGUUUAGUUCUGGAUCAGAUUCUAAUCCAGAAUUAGUAUCUGGGCCAAAACUUCCCAGAAGAAAUUACAGUAGUGUCUGUGGAGUAGUUGAAAACCAUUAUAACCCUCAGGAGAACCUGGACCCUAAGCUGGAUGCUGCUUAGGCCAGGAGAGCCUGAGAUUUCCCAGGCUUUGCGAGCAUUACAGCAAAGAGCUAAAAUCUCAUUGUCCAUAACAACAAAAGCAGCAGUAGCUUGGAUAAUUGCACUAUAUAGAUAACCAUUUAUUUAUUUAUUUUUAGUACUGGGGACUGAGCCCAAGGUUUUCAUACUGAGCUACAUCCCUAGUCUUUUUUUUUUGUCUUUUUCAUUUUUAUCGGUACUGGGGAUCGAACUCACGACCGCCUGCUUGCAAGGCAGGUACUUAUGCCGCUGAGCUAAAUCUCCAGCCCCUAUCCCUAGUCUUUUUGUAUGCGUGUGUGACAAGGUCUUGUUAGACAGGGCUCUAACUUGCAAUCCUCCUGCCUUAGCCUCCAAAGUUCUCAUUUAUGUAGUGUGUUCAGCCUCUCAAAAGCUGAAAGAACAAAAGACAAUUCACUGCGUGAUGAUUUUGGAAACUCCACUAAGCAAUUUAAAUUGUAUCUCCAGCCCCUCCUCGCUUUGCAGUCUAUGCCAACAGGAAGGACGAGGGAGGGGGAAAAGUCUAACUCUUGGGCAUUGUAUCAUUUUGGAUUUGUUUCUUUCAUGAGAAGCAAUUUUUGGUUGAUUAGCCAACAGUUAGAGAGCUGUGUCUCUUGAAGGUUGUCUUGUCACCAUGCUGACUGCUCCAUCCUUUCUUUACUUGCCACGGUAGGACAGAAAUUUUUUUUUCAGAAUUCAUUUUGAACGAAUGUCUGGAGCCUGGGACUGGGGUUACCAUCCCCUCAAAGAAGAACCACUCCUGCUGUGCUUGAGGCAGGAGGAACUGUCAUCGAGGAAUGCUUCUGUGACCUGGGGCGGUUCCAUCUAUGUGUUCCUCGCGGGUACCCCUCACCUUUCCUUGUGUUUCCACUACUGCUUGUGCAGACUGCCAUCAGGGUUCAGUACAUAACGGCGCGUGAGAAUAAAAUGGCAUUGUCCGUAA